AAAUUGAAGAGUUUGAUCAUGGCUCAGAUUGAACGCUGGCGGCAGGCCUAACACAUGCAAGUCGAACGGUAACAGGAAGCAGCUUGCUGCUUUGCUGACGAGUGGCGGACGGGUGAGUAAUGUCUGGGAAACUGCCYGAUGGAGGGGGAUAACUACUGGAAACGGUGGCUAAUACCGCAUAACGUCGCAAGACCAAAGAGGGGGACCUUCGGGCCUCUUGCCAUCAGAUGUGCCCAGAUGGGAUUAGCUUGUUGGUGAGGUAACGGCUCACCAAGGCGACGAUCCCUAGCUGGUCUGAGAGGAUGACCAGCCACACUGGAACUGAGACACGGUCCAGACUCCUACGGGAGGCAGCAGUGGGGAAUAUUGCACAAUGGGCGCAAGCCCAAGCC
RNAcentral lists this ribosomal RNA (392 nucleotides) under Salmonella enterica. Its description in RNAcentral is "bacterial SSU rRNA". The record is from RNAcentral. Lineage: Bacteria; Pseudomonadati; Pseudomonadota; Gammaproteobacteria; Enterobacterales; Enterobacteriaceae.